UGGUCUUAGCUUGCUAAGGCCGAUGGCGACCGGCGCACGGGUGAGUAACACGUAUCCAACCUGCCGUCUACUCUUGGACAGCCUUCUGAAAGGAAGAUUAAUACAAGAUGGCAUCAUGAGUCCACAUGUUCACAUGAUUAAAGAAUUUCGGUUAUCGAUGGGGAUGCGUUCCAUUAGAUAGUAGGCGGGGUAACGGCCCACCUAGUCUUCGAUGGAUAGGGGUUCUGAGAGGAAGGUCCCCACAUUGGAACUGAGACACGGUCCAAACUCC
RNAcentral lists this ribosomal RNA (271 nucleotides) under uncultured Bacteroides sp. Its description in RNAcentral is "partial 16S ribosomal RNA". It matches the Rfam family "Bacterial small subunit ribosomal RNA", at positions 70 to 339 of the family's 1533-position model. The record is from RNAcentral. Lineage: Bacteria; Pseudomonadati; Bacteroidota; Bacteroidia; Bacteroidales; Bacteroidaceae.